GUGAGGAUAGCUCAGCUGGUUAGAGCAUCGGAUUGUGGUUCCGAGGGUCGAGGGUUCGAAUCCCUUUCUUCACC
This 74-nucleotide transfer RNA is filed under the name Prevotella sp. RNAcentral's name for it is "tRNA-His". It matches the Rfam family "tRNA". From Rfam's summary of the family: Transfer RNA (tRNA) molecules are approximately 80 nucleotides in length. Their secondary structure includes four short double-helical elements and three loops (D, anti-codon, and T loops). Lineage: Bacteria; Pseudomonadati; Bacteroidota; Bacteroidia; Bacteroidales; Prevotellaceae. RNAcentral also lists the same sequence under 6 other names. The record is from RNAcentral.